RNAcentral lists this ribosomal RNA (301 nucleotides) under uncultured bacterium. Its description in RNAcentral is "partial 16S ribosomal RNA". It matches the Rfam family "Bacterial small subunit ribosomal RNA", at positions 509 to 807 of the family's 1533-position model. The record is from RNAcentral.
CAGUCGCCGCGGUAAUGCGAAGGGCGCAAGCGUUACUCGGAAUUACUGGGCGUAAAGCGUGUGUAGGUGGUUGUUUAAGUCUGUCGUGAAAGCCCUGGGCUCAACCUGGGAAUUGCGAUGGAUACUGGGCGACUAGAGUGCGGUAGAGGAUAGUGGAAUUUCCGGUGUAGCAGUGAAAUGCGUAGAGAUCGGAAGGAACAUCUGUGGCGAAGGCGACUAUCUGGGCCAACACUGACACUGAGACACGAAAGCGUGGGGAGCAAACAGGAUUAGAUACCCGCGUAGUCCCUGUCUCUUAUAC